UGAGCAAUCUGCCCUUCUCUUCGGAAUAAGCGUUGGAAACGACGUCUAAUACCGAAUACGACCUCCUUUCGCAUGAUCGGAGGUGGAAAGCUCCGGCGGAGAAGGAUGAGCUCGCGGCCUAUCAGCUAGUUGGUGUGGGUAAUGGCCCACAAGGCGACGACGGGUAGCCGGCCUGAGGAGGGUGACCGGCCACACGUGGGACUGAGACACGGCCCAGACCUCCGUACGGGGAGG
RNAcentral lists this ribosomal RNA (234 nucleotides) under uncultured bacterium. Its description in RNAcentral is "partial 16S ribosomal RNA". It matches the Rfam family "Bacterial small subunit ribosomal RNA", at positions 118 to 347 of the family's 1533-position model. The record is from RNAcentral.